UGCAGCCGAGCGGUAUGGAUCUUUCGGGAUCCAGAGAGCGGCGUACGGGUGCGGAACACGUGUGCAACCUGCCUUUAUCAGGGGGAUAGCCUUUCGAAAGGAAGAUUAAUACCCCAUAAUAUUUAGAAUGGCAUCAUUUUAAAUUGAAAACUCCGGUGGAUAGAGAUGGGCACGCGCAAGAUUAGAUAGUUGGUGAGGUAACGGCUCACCAAGUCUGCGAUCUUUAGGGGGCCUGAGAGGGUGAUCCCCCACACUGGUACUGAGACACGGACCAGACUCCUACGGGAGGCAGCAGUGAGGAAUAUUGGACAAUGGGUGCGAGCCUGAUCCAGCCAUCCCGCGUGAAGGACGACGGCCCUAUGGGUUGUAAACUUCUUUUGUAUAGGGAUAAACCUACCCUCGUGAGGGUAGCUGAAGGUACUAUACGAAUAAGCACCGGCUAACUCCGUGCCAGCAGCCGCGGUAAUACGGAGGGUGCAAGCGUUAUCCGGAUUUAUUGGGUUUAAAGGGUCCGUAGGCUGAUGUGUAAGUCAGUGGUGAAAUCUCACAGCUUAACUGUGAAACUGCCAUUGAUACUGCAUGUCUUGAGUGUUGUUGAAGUAGCUGGAAUAAGUAGUGUAGCGGUGAAAUGCAUAGAUAUUACUUAGAACACCAAUUGCGAAGGCAGGUUACUAAGCAACAACUGACGCUGAUGGACGAAAGCGUGGGGAGCGAACAGGAUUAGAUACCCUGGUAGUCCACGCCGUAAACGAUGCUAACUCGUUUUUGGGUUUUCGGAUUCAGAGACUAAGCGAAAGUGAUAAGUUAGCCACCUGGGGAGUACGAACGCAAGUUUGAAACUCAAAGGAAUUGACGGGGGCCCGCACAAGCGGUGGAUUAUGUGGUUUAAUUCGAUGAUACGCGAGGAACCUUACCAAGGCUUAAAUGGGAAAUGACAGGUUUAGAAAUAG
RNAcentral lists this ribosomal RNA (950 nucleotides) under Chryseobacterium arthrosphaerae. Its description in RNAcentral is "bacterial SSU rRNA". It matches the Rfam family "Bacterial small subunit ribosomal RNA", at positions 56 to 1009 of the family's 1533-position model. Lineage: Bacteria; Pseudomonadati; Bacteroidota; Flavobacteriia; Flavobacteriales; Weeksellaceae. The record is from RNAcentral.